This 497-nucleotide ribosomal RNA is filed under the name uncultured bacterium. RNAcentral's name for it is "partial 16S ribosomal RNA". It matches the Rfam family "Bacterial small subunit ribosomal RNA", at positions 28 to 507 of the family's 1533-position model. The record is from RNAcentral.
GAUGAACGCUGGCGGCGUGCCUAAUACAUGCAAGUCGAGCGAACGGACGAGAAGCUUGCUUCUCUGAUGUUAGCGGCGGACGGGUGAGUAACACGUGGAUAACCUACCUAUAAGACUGGGAUAACUUCGGGAAACCGGUGCUAAUACCUGAUAAUAUUUUGAACAGCAUGGUUCAAAAGUGAAAGACGGUCUUGCUGUCACUUAUAGAUGGAUCCGCGCUGCAUUAGCUAGUUGGUAAGGUAACGGCUUACCAAGGCAACGAUGAAUAGCCGACCUGAGAGGGUGAUCGGCCACACUGGAACUGAGACACGGUCCAGACUCCUACGGGAGGCAGCAGUAGGGAAUCUUCCGCAAUGGGCGAAAGCCUGACGGAGCAACGCCGCGUGAGUGAUGAAGGUCUUCGGAUCGUAAAACUCUGUUAUUAGGGAAGAACAUAUGUGUAAGUAACUGUGCACAUCUUGACGGUACCUAAUCAGAAAGCCACGGCUAACUACGUG